AAACAAGCAAGAAAAUCUCAGUUGUUUGUUGAUAAAUAUGAUGAGAUGCUAAGGUUGAAAUUGUUUUCUUUCUUGAAUGAGUUUGAGAAUGGUGGUGUUCCUGACUAUGCUCAGUUGUACUCUUUUUUUGUGGAAAAAUUGGGGAUUUGUAAUCCUAGGAGUUGCAGAGUUGAGAUUGAGUUUUUGGAGGAGCAGAUUGUGAACCAUGAAGGAGAUAUUGAGCCCACAUCCUCAGUUCUCAACGGGUUUGUGGCGUUGAUGCGAUACUGCAGGUUUUUGCUAUUUGGCUUUGAAGAGGAUGAUAUGGGGUUGAGAUUGGGUAAGCAUAAGAAGCCGAAGAGAGGGCUGAUUAGUCAAGAGAUUGCAGAGACAUUCAUUUCUGUACCAAAGGACUUCUGUUGUCCGAUAUCGUUGGAUUUGAUGAGGGAUCCAGUUAUUGUGGCAACAGGGCAGACAUAUGAUCGAGCUUCUAUAUCGAGGUGGAUGGAGGAGGGUCACUGUACUUGCCCAAAGACAGGGCAGUUGCUUGAUCAUACCCGGCUUGUGCCAAACAGGGCUCUUAGGAAUUUGAUUAUGCAUUGGUGUGCUGCUCGCAAAAUUCCCUAUGACCCUCUGGAGAGUGGGGAUCCAUGUGUUGAAUGUUUUCCAUCAGCUUCACCUAGCAGGGCUGCACUAGAAGCUAAUAAAGCCACAGCAGCUCUUCUGAUUAAGCAGCUAGAGAGUGGGACGCAGAUUGCAAAAACUAUUGCUGCUCAGGAGAUAAGACUUUUAGCUAAAACUGGUAAGGAGAAUCGUGCAUACAUAGCUGAGGCUGGUGCAAUCCCACAUUUGAAGAAUUUGCUUUCAUCUCCAGAUGCUGUGGCACAAGAAAAUUCCGUCACUGCAAUGCUUAACUUAUCGAUUUUUGAUAAGAAUAAAGGCCGAAUUAUUGAUGAAGUAGGGUGUCUGGCUUUGAUAGUUGGAGUUUUGAGAUUUGGGCACACCACAGAGGCACGGGAAAAUGCUGCAGCAACAUUAUUCAGUCUGUCAGCUGUUCAUGACUAUAAGAGGCAAAUAGCAAAAGAAGAUGGGGCAGUCGAGGCCUUAGCGGGUCUGUUGCGAGAAGGUUCUCCCAGAGGGAAGAAAGAUGCAGUAACUGCUCUAUUUAAUUUAUCCACCCACACAGAUAAUUGUGCGAGGAUGAUAGAGUCUGGAGCUGUUACUGCUCUAGUUGGAGCUUUGGGAAGUGAAGGUGUUGCUGAAGAAGCUGCUGGUGCAUUGGCGCUGAUUGUUAGGCAGCAAGUUGGUGCUACAGCUGUUGGCAAUGAGGAAAUGGCAGUAGCAGGGCUCAUUGCAAUGAUGCGAUGUGGGACACCAAGAGGGAAGGAGAAUGCUGUUGCUGCAUUACUUGAAUUAUGCCGCGGUGGUGGAGCAGCUGCUACUGAGAGGGUCUUGAAGGCGCCGUCAUUAGCAAGUUUACUUCAGACGUUGCUCUUUACAGGAACAAAGCGCGCAAGGAGGAAAGCAGCAUCGCUUGCUAGAGUAUUCCAACGGUGUGAGCAUGCAGCAGUUCAUUAUAGUGGGUUUGGUGUAGGAUAUGCAUUUGCUGGAAACUCAGCUGCUGCUAGGGAUUCAACUUUUCCUGGUGAUGUCUCAGUGUCCAUGUCCAUUUCAGUUCCAGUAUUAUAGGGGUACUUACCACCAUUCAUCUUUUGUUCUUAGUUUUACUUGUAAUAUUCAAAAAUUCUUUCAUUGAAAUAUAAACGCGACAAAGAAAGAGAGAAAUCAUAGGAAUACCACAAAAUUCAU
RNAcentral lists this unclassified non-coding RNA (1788 nucleotides) under Hevea brasiliensis (rubber tree). Lineage: Eukaryota; Viridiplantae; Streptophyta; Magnoliopsida; Malpighiales; Euphorbiaceae. The record is from RNAcentral.